GACGAACGCUGGCGGCGUGCUUAACACAUGCAAGUCGAACGGAAAGGCCCUGCUUUUGUGGGGUGCUCGAGUGGCGAACGGGUGAGUAACACGUGAGUAACCUGCCCUUGACUUUGGGAUAACUUCAGGAAACUGGGGCUAAUACCGGAUAGGAGUUCCUGCUGCAUGGUGGGGGUUGGAAGGUUUCGGCGGUUGGGGAUGGACUCGCGGCUUAUCAGCUUGUUGGUUGGGUAGUGGCUUACCAAGGCUUUGACGGGUAGCCGGCCUGAGCGGGGGACCGGCCACAUUGGGACUGAGAUACGGCCCAGACUCCUACGGGAGGCAGCAGUGGGGAAUAUUGCACAAUGGGCGGAAGCAUGAUGCAGCCACGCCGCGUGCGGGAAGACGGCAUUCGGGUUGUAAACCGCUUUCGCCUGUGACGAAGCGUGAGUGACGGUAAUGGGUAAAGAAGCACCGGCUAACUACGUG
RNAcentral lists this ribosomal RNA (468 nucleotides) under uncultured bacterium. RNAcentral's name for it is "partial 16S ribosomal RNA". It matches the Rfam family "Bacterial small subunit ribosomal RNA", at positions 28 to 507 of the family's 1533-position model. The record is from RNAcentral.